AGAAUAUCAUGUGCAGAUUAAAGAGACUGGAUCCUUGUAGUAUGUAUAUUUGGUUGCUGCAUUCAUAUUAAUCAAGCAAUGCUUUCAUCUCCUUUUGUUGGGCAGAGGGCAUGGCUUCCUUCAGACAAAAGGAAAGAACAAAUCACAAAAUGAAAUAGAAAUCUAAAAGCUUGAAGUUGAUACUACGAUAAGAAAACAUCUUGCAUCUUACCAGGACUAUGGGGGAGCUACCUUUUCUAAUCUUUUUAAAUAAGAUAAAGAAUUGGUUGAUGGUAAAG
This 278-nucleotide unclassified non-coding RNA is filed under the name Hevea brasiliensis (rubber tree). The record is from RNAcentral. Lineage: Eukaryota; Viridiplantae; Streptophyta; Magnoliopsida; Malpighiales; Euphorbiaceae.